GAGGGUAUGUCUCAAAUGGUAGAGCACAUGCUCAACAUUCAUAAGGUCCUGGGUUCAAUCCCCAGUACCUCCU
RNAcentral lists this transfer RNA (73 nucleotides) under Camelus ferus (Wild Bactrian camel). It matches the Rfam family "tRNA". From Rfam's summary of the family: Transfer RNA (tRNA) molecules are approximately 80 nucleotides in length. Their secondary structure includes four short double-helical elements and three loops (D, anti-codon, and T loops). Lineage: Eukaryota; Metazoa; Chordata; Mammalia; Artiodactyla; Camelidae. The record is from Rfam by way of RNAcentral.